AUAUUGCUCGCACAGCAGAUUCUGAACGGACUGCUCGACGGCGUUUACUACCUUCUGAUCGCGCUCGGGCUGUCGCUGAUUUUUUCCCUCGGCGGAAUCGUCAAUCUUGCACACGGCGCGUUCUUUGCUAUCGGCGCAUACCUCACGCUGGUGAUCUCACCCUAUCUCGGGUUCAGCGGGGCGUUUGUGUUGUCGCCGGUGGCGGUGGCGUUG
Molecule: unclassified non-coding RNA, 213 nt
Filed under: Hevea brasiliensis (rubber tree)
Lineage: Eukaryota; Viridiplantae; Streptophyta; Magnoliopsida; Malpighiales; Euphorbiaceae
Source: RNAcentral